RNAcentral lists this long non-coding RNA (369 nucleotides) under Hordeum vulgare. RNAcentral's name for it is "long non-coding RNA (HVUL_LNC005472)". The record is from RNAcentral. Lineage: Eukaryota; Viridiplantae; Streptophyta; Magnoliopsida; Poales; Poaceae.
CACCAGCGUGUGGUGUGCCUCAGUAGAGGUGUAGAGAUUUUAGUUAUCAUGUUGCCAGUGGAGAGGAGAAGAUCAUCUCCCGCUGGUUCAAACCACUUGUUCACAUCACCGGCACAUCCAAACUAAUCCAAACGAACGAAACGAUCAGUUGCAUAACGAGAGCGCCUCGGAUGAAGAAAUUGAUUGCUAUCACUUGUGCGUAUAGCACAUCUGCAAAUAUAUGUAUCGUCAUCGGCGUAUACAUAUGGUCGCAAGAAACACGAAUUCAGCAGCCGGAGAAAAGAAACGAACAUGCAUGUUGAAAAACGACGGCGCCUCAGAUUGGGAAAUUGAUUGCUAUCACUUGUGCGUAGCACAUAUGCAAACAUA